AUUGAACGCUGGCGGCAUGCCUUACACAUGCAAGUCGAACGGCAGCGCGGACUUCGGUCUGGCGGCGAGUGGCGAACGGGUAAGUAAUGUAUCGGAACGUACCAUUGAGUGGGGGAUAACGUAGCGAAAGUUACGCUAAUACCGCAUAUUCUCUCCGGAGGAAAGCAGGGGACCGCAAGGCCUUGCGCUCUUUGAGCGGCCGAUAUCAGAUUAGCUAGUUGGUGGGGUAAAAGCUCACCAAGGCGACGAUCUGUAGCGGGUCUGAGAGGAUGAUCCGCCACACUGGAACUGAGACACGGUCCAGACUCCUACGGGAGGCAGCAGUGGGGAAUUUUGGACAAUGGGGGCAACCCUGAUCCAGCCAUGCCGCGUGAGUGAAGAAGGCCUUCGGGUUGUAAAGCUCUUUCGGCCGGGAAAAAAUCGCAUGGAUUAAUACUCUGUGUGGAUAAUGGUACCGGAAUAAGAAGCACCGGCUAACUACGUGCCAGCCGCCGCCGUAA
RNAcentral lists this ribosomal RNA (500 nucleotides) under uncultured bacterium. Its description in RNAcentral is "partial 16S ribosomal RNA". It matches the Rfam family "Bacterial small subunit ribosomal RNA", at positions 30 to 523 of the family's 1533-position model. The record is from RNAcentral.